This is a long non-coding RNA of Betta splendens (Siamese fighting fish), 963 nucleotides long. RefSeq lists it as uncharacterized. NCBI's taxonomy places the organism in Eukaryota, Metazoa, Chordata, Actinopteri, Anabantiformes, Osphronemidae. The record is from RefSeq and is a predicted model, not a curated record. The transcript has 2 exons.
UUUUCUUUAUAACAUUGGAGACGCUGAGCACAUUAGUGAAGCCACUGCAUGUAGAAAAAAAUCGACCUCAAGCGCUUUCCUUGACACAAACUCCUUAAAGCCAUUAAAGAGGAGUUUCACAGGAUUGCAGGAGAGAUUGACAGCUUUCUGCUGGAGAUAGGGGUUAAUGGCAGCCCACGCUACUGACCCCUCACCCAGAACCUGAAGCAGAACCCCAGCAGCGCUUUAAUGUGGCCCUGCAGAAUAAGAGCCCAGGGGGAAAUGACCAUAGGCCUGUUGAAAGCACAUCUUCAGUGUCUACGUCACCUCAGGGAAACACUUGAGAGGCCUGUGACAUUAAUGUGACAUGUGUUGUUCUCCACAUUAUUGCAAUUAUUAGAGGGGAGCAACACCCUGCCCUACAAAUACAAGACCCCGAGGAGACUCCUUCCAUUACAGUAAUCUGCAGAGUGGAUGGACAGAUUUGCUUUAAUGUCUUAAUCAACCAUCCCCACCACCACCAAUAAAAGAAACUGAAUAGAUGUAAAUCAUAAUUUAUUUGUUUUUUUUCAUUUCCUACAAAUACAAAGGCAAAUGUUAGAUUUUAUGAUUCUUCCAAUAAUUCAUACAAUUCACCUUUAACUAUACACUCAUCUCCAGCUUGUGUUUGGGAAUUUCAAUUUCUAGAUCUGGCUUCUCAAUCUUGUGAUACAAGUAUAACAUUUCCUUGAGAUUUAGUUUAUACAACUCAAUAACCGGUAACUUAAAAUACAGAAGAUUUAGAGUUACAUGACAUCUUGACAUGACAUGUUCCUCAUUACUCUUACAGAAUUGAACUCUGGCAUUUACUGAACAUCACUGAACCGUGUGCAUCUGUGCAGCAAAUGUGACUGACCUCCUCCUGCGAGGUGCAGGUCCUCCACCAGUUGUUCUAGCCUCUGCCUUCUUUCUGUUGGCUGAGUAGAAGUCAAAUGUUUAACUGUG